AUUGAACGCUGGCGGCAGGCUUAACACAUGCAAGUCGAACGAGUGGCGGACGGGUGAGUAAUGUCUGGGAAUCUUGCUUAUGGAGGGGGAUAACUACUGGAAACUGUAGCUAAUACCGCGUACCAUAGGCUGUGCCCAGGUUGGAUUAGGUAGUUGGUGGGGUAACGGCUCACCGAGGCGACGAUCCCUAGCUGGUCUGAGAGGAUGACCCGCCAAACUGGAAAUGGGAAACGGUCCAGAACUCUACGGGAGGCAGCAGUGGGGAAGUGUGGACAAGGGGCGGAAGCCUGAAGCAGCCAAGCCGAGGGUGUGAAGAAGGCCUUCGGGGUGUAAAGGACUUUCAGCUAGGAAGAGGUAAGCUCAGAAGAAGCACCGGCUAACUGCGGUCCAGCAGACGCGGUAAUUA
RNAcentral lists this ribosomal RNA (406 nucleotides) under uncultured bacterium. Its description in RNAcentral is "partial 16S ribosomal RNA". It matches the Rfam family "Bacterial small subunit ribosomal RNA", at positions 29 to 525 of the family's 1533-position model. The record is from RNAcentral.